UACCUACGGGACGCAGCAGUCGGGAAUAUUGCGCAAUGGAGGAAACUCUGACGCAGUGACGCCGCGUAUAGGAAGAAGUUUUUCGGAAUGUAAACUAUUGUCGUUAGGGAAGAGAAAGGACAGUACCUAAGGAGGAAGCUCCGGCUAACUACGUGCCAGCAGCCGCGGUAAUACGUAGGGAGCGAGCGUUAUCCGGAUUUAUUGGGUUUAAAGGGUGCGUAGGCGGUAUUUUAAGUUAGUGGUAAAACGUCGGGGCUUCACCUUGAUUGGCCAUUAAAACUGGAGUACUAGAGUACAGACGAGGU
RNAcentral lists this ribosomal RNA (305 nucleotides) under uncultured bacterium. RNAcentral describes it as "bacterial SSU rRNA". It matches the Rfam family "Bacterial small subunit ribosomal RNA", at positions 335 to 658 of the family's 1533-position model. The record is from RNAcentral.